Molecule: ribosomal RNA, 468 nt
Filed under: uncultured bacterium
Lineage: Bacteria
Description: partial 16S ribosomal RNA
Rfam family: Bacterial small subunit ribosomal RNA
Source: RNAcentral
GACGAACGCUGGCGGCGUGCUUAACACAUGCAAGUCGAACGGAAAGGCCCUGCUUUUGUGGGGUGCUCGAGUGGCGAACGGGUGAGUAACACGUGAGUAACCUGCCCUUGACUUUGGGAUAACUUCAGGAAACUGGGGCUAAUACCGGAUAGGAGCUCCUGCUGCAUGGUGGGGGUUGGAAAGUUUCGGCGGUUGGGGAUGGACUCGCGGCUUAUCAGCUUGUUGGUGGGGUAGUGGCUUGCCAAGGCUUUGACGGGUAGCCGGCCUGAGAGGGUGACCGGCCACAUUGGGACUGAGAUACGGCCCAGACUCCUACGGGAGGCAGAAGUGGGGAAUAUUGCACAAUGGGCGGAAGCCUGAUGCAGCAACGCCGCGUGCGGGAUGACGGCCUUCGGGUUGUAAACCGCUUUCGCCUGUGACGAAGCGUGAGUGACGGUAAUGGGUAAAGAAGCACCGGCUAACUACGUG